RNAcentral lists this ribosomal RNA (492 nucleotides) under uncultured bacterium. RNAcentral describes it as "partial 16S ribosomal RNA". It matches the Rfam family "Bacterial small subunit ribosomal RNA", at positions 29 to 507 of the family's 1533-position model. The record is from RNAcentral.
AGUGAACGCUGGCGGUAGGCCUAACACAUGCAAGUCGAACGGCAGCACAGUAAGAGCUUGCUCUUACGGGUGGCGAGUGGCGGACGGGUGAGGAAUACAUCGGAAUCUACUUUUUCGUGGGGGAUAACGAAGGGAAACUUACGCUAAUACCGCAUACGACCUACGGUUGAAAGCAGGGGAUCUUCGGACCUUGCGCGAUUGAAUGAGCCGAUGUCGGAUUAGCUAGUUGGCGGGGUAAAGGCCCACCAAGGCGACGAUCCGUAGCUGGUCUGAGAGGAUGAUCAGCCACACUGGAACUGAGACACGGUCCAGACGCCUACGGGAGGCAGCAGUGGGGAAUAUUGGACAAAGGGCGCAAGCCUGAUCCAGCCAUACCGCGUGGGUGAAGAAGGCCUUCGGGUUGUAAAGCCCUUUUGUUGGGAAAGAAAAGCAGCAGGUUAAUACCCCGCUGUUCUGACGGUACCCAAAGAAUAAGCACCGGCUAACUUCGUG